GAUGAACGCUGGCGGCGUGCUUAACACAUGCCAGUCGAACGGAAAGGCCCAAGCUUGCUUGGGUACUCGAGUGGCGAACGGGUGAGUAACACGUGGGUGAUCUGCCCUGCACUUCGGGAUAAGCCUGGGAAACUGGGUCUAAUACCGGAUAGGACGAUGGUUUGGAUGCCAUUGUGGAAAGUUUUUUCGGUGUGGGAUGAGCUCGCGGCCUAUCAGCUUGUUGGUGGGGUAAUGGCCUACCAAGGCGUCGACGGGUAGCCGGCCUGAGAGGGUGUACGGCCACAUUGGGACGGAGAUACGGCCCAGACUCCUACGGGAGGCAGCAGUGGGGAAUAUUGCACAAUGGGCGCAAGCCUGAUGCAGCGACGCCGCGUGGGGGAUGACGGCCUUCGGGUUGUAAACUCCUUUCGCUAGGGACGAAGCGUUUUUGUGACGGUACCUGGAGAAGAAGCACCGGCUAACUACGUG
RNAcentral lists this ribosomal RNA (468 nucleotides) under uncultured bacterium. RNAcentral's name for it is "partial 16S ribosomal RNA". It matches the Rfam family "Bacterial small subunit ribosomal RNA", at positions 28 to 507 of the family's 1533-position model. The record is from RNAcentral.